GAUUAACGCUGGCGGCGUGCAUAACACAUGCAAGUCGAACGAAGUGGCAGACGGGUGAGUAACGCUCGAUUAACCUGCCUUAGAGACGGGGAUAGCCUAUGGAAACGAGAAAUAAUACCCUAUACUCUACGAUGGACUUUGGUGUGAUUAGUUAGUUGCUGAGGUAACGGCCCACCAAGACAGCGAUCAGUAGCCGGCUUGAGAGAGUGUACGGCCACAUUGGGACUGAGACACGGCCCAGACGCUACUGGAGGCAGCAGUGGGGAAUUUUGCACAAUGGGGGAAACCCUGAUGCAGCGACGCCGCGUGAUUUAGAAGGCCUUCGGGUUGUAAAAAUCUUUUCUAUGGGAAGCAGUACCAUAGGAAUAAGGACCGGCUAAUUACGUGCCAGCAGCCGCGGUAAUUC
RNAcentral lists this ribosomal RNA (406 nucleotides) under uncultured bacterium. RNAcentral's name for it is "partial 16S ribosomal RNA". It matches the Rfam family "Bacterial small subunit ribosomal RNA", at positions 28 to 526 of the family's 1533-position model. The record is from RNAcentral.